CGUUACCUUAUGGUAGCCAAUCAAUGUUCUGGCAAUCUGAGAGGAACGCUUUCGGGCGAUUGCAAAUAUCAAUGUUCUUGUAGUCUGAGAGGGAACGCCUUCGGGUGACUGCAUUAUCUGCCAUACCUGAAACGGCAGACAGUAAGAUACUCUGGGUAAAUCC
RNAcentral lists this small RNA (163 nucleotides) under Xenorhabdus innexi. RNAcentral describes it as "STAXI RNA". It matches the Rfam family "STAXI RNA". Lineage: Bacteria; Pseudomonadati; Pseudomonadota; Gammaproteobacteria; Enterobacterales; Morganellaceae. The record is from Rfam by way of RNAcentral.